Molecule: ribosomal RNA, 390 nt
Filed under: Triticum aestivum (bread wheat)
Lineage: Eukaryota; Viridiplantae; Streptophyta; Magnoliopsida; Poales; Poaceae
Description: partial small subunit ribosomal RNA
Source: RNAcentral
AUGGUGUUGGCGGCCACUUUGUACCAACAAUCCGAGAAGAAGCCAUUCGAUUCUACCUAUUAUUGGAUGAAAUUGAAGGGCAAACCAAAGUGGCAACAUCUUGUGGAUGACCUCAAGAACGACAAGAGGUUGAAGAAAAAUGCUGGCCUAAGCUCCCAACAAUUCAUUGGAUUGGAUGAGAAAGAGGAAGAAGUUGUAGGGGAGAAUGGACGAGCCGCCGUGCCAAUGAAGAACUGGCAAGUGAUGGGAAACACGUGGGAGAAGGGAAGGGCCUCCCUGAAGCCGUGGCGAGUAAAAUGUCUGCCAUGCGGACGAGCAUUUUUUUCACAAAGGAGGAGAAGAAAGAGGAGAGGCACAAGCUUAUGUUGGAUGCGCAAAAUAAAAAGAUAG